Molecule: small RNA, 1334 nt
Filed under: Bos taurus (domestic cattle)
Lineage: Eukaryota; Metazoa; Chordata; Mammalia; Artiodactyla; Bovidae
Source: RNAcentral
UGAGCGGAAUUCGUGAGACCUUUUUUUCAAUUUUAGCGGAAUUCGUCAGACCUGUCGUUUUCUCUCUUUUUUCAAGUAGUCAAGUACCAACUGGUAAUUUCCUAUGAACUUGCCAUCUUAUUAUACAAUAAUUAAAUUAUGCCCAUGGAAGUCUCACCUUUGAUAUCUACUGAAUGGAAUUGCGCUUUGAGAUCUGAAGUUAGACAUUUGUACGCUGGGAAAAUGUCAGGAACGUUCAAAAAAUAGCUAGAGAUAUUCAAGUGCUGCCUUUUUGAGCCCAAUUUUGCUAUUAUAUUUUAUGUGGAAAGUUCUGCAUUUCUUCAUGCUGAUGACAAUUCCUCAUUAAGAGAAAUUUCCAAGGGGGAAAGAAAAAAAGACAACACAAUAUGCUUGAUUGCAUAUUGAAAGUCAAAGUAGUACCAGUUACGUGUGUACGUAAGCAACGUCCCAUCAAACAGAUUGAUUCAUGGCAACUAAUGUUUCAUGUUUUUCUGUCAAGGAAAAAAAUAAUAAUUGAGCUUUCCAGGAAAAACUGAGAAGUUCCAAGAAGGCAGAAAUGUAGGCAGAUGUGAAAUGCAACUCUCUCAAUAAAUGGAUCACAAAUAAUACUUCUGCAAGGACAAUAGUUCUCCCACAGCAUCAAAUAGCAGAAGACCCUGCUCACCAGAGUGUCCCAUGUGGGUUCCAGACAUACCUGAGUGAAAAGGAAUUAAGAAGGGAUUUAGAGGGAUCCUGGGAGAGGACUGCUGUUGACUAUGUGGAAAUGGCCUGACGGAGCAGGUACGAGUCGUUGUGUAGCAGGGAAUACCUUUUGAGAAUUCCCAAACUGCCAAAGCGACUGUACUGUGUCACACUCAGGAGGCAGAGAUACCUUGGUAGCGCCUCACCUUCCCACCUGUUAACACCUACUAUAAGGCAAUAGAGAAAGACCAGCAGAAGUACCACUCAUGCUCCUGCAAACACAGGCUAGAAAAGGAUCCCAUUCAGGCAAAACCUCUUCUGCCUAUGGCUGCUGGCUCCUAUUCAUAACUAGCACCACCAUGUUUCCAGAAUUCCAAGCAGCUGUACCUUAACCUUCUGUGCUCAUCAUGGCAGACCCCAGUGCACCACAAGUGUCUCAAGUCAGACACAUUUGGUGACCACAUGUGAGCAAGGAUGAAAUUUACACCUGAGGCCCAGGGACAGAGCCAUUAAGAAAGAGGAUUAUGAAUCUUCCAUCCAGUUGUGCAUGCUGCAGAUUAAAUACACAGGAUUAAUGAUGCAGACCCUGUGUCUACGGAUUACAUCCAAAGCUGAGAAGAGGUCAAAAAAAAAAAGGUCUCACGAAUUCCGCU